GAUGAAGAACGUAGUGAAAUGCGAUACUUGGUGUGAAUUGCAGAAUCCCGUGAACCAUCGAGUCUUUGAACGCAAGUUGCGCCCGAAGCCAUUAGGCCGAGGGCACGCCUGCCUGGGCGUCACACGUCGUUGCCCCCCCAUCUACUCCUUCGGGAUUGCGGGGGGUGGAUGAUGGCCUCCCGUGCGCCUCGCCGCGCGGUUGGCAUAAAUGCCAAGUCCUCGGCGACGCACGCCACGACAAUCGGUGGUUGCGAAACCUCGGUUGCCCGUCGUGUGCGGUCGUCGCGCAUCGAGGGCUCGAAAAAAUUGCCGGGUUCCGGCUCGGCUUUCAACGCGACCCCAGGUCAGGCGGGGUUACCCGCUGAAUUUAAGCAUAUCAAUAAGCGGAGGA
This 391-nucleotide unclassified non-coding RNA is filed under the name soil metagenome. Its description in RNAcentral is "partial contains 5.8S ribosomal RNA, internal transcribed spacer 2, and large subunit ribosomal RNA". The stretch from base 1 to 122 matches the Rfam family "5.8S ribosomal RNA", at positions 35 to 154 of the family's 154-position model. The record is from RNAcentral.